GCUACAAGCCAGGCUAUCGCCCCGAUUUAUCGGGGAGGAAAGUCCGGACAGCACAUAGCAAUGCACCGGUGAAGAGCCGGGUGUCUUGAGCAAACAGGAUAACAGACAGUGCCACAGAAAAUAACUACUCCGAUUUAUCGGGGAAAAGGUGAAAAUGUGAGGUAAAAGCUCACAGCUUGUAUGAGCGAUCGUACAUCCGGGUAAACCUUGCAUGCUGAAAUGCCACAUAUACCAUCGCCUGAGGACUGCUCGUCCGAUGAUGGAGGGUAGGCAGAUUGAUCCCGAUUGGUAACUUUCGGGACAGAUAAAUGAUAGCCCACGACAGAACCCGGCUUACCGGCUUGUAGCUUUU
Molecule: RNase P RNA, 352 nt
Filed under: Bacteroidia bacterium
Lineage: Bacteria; Pseudomonadati; Bacteroidota; Bacteroidia
Description: RNase P RNA component class A
Rfam family: Bacterial RNase P class A
About the family: Ribonuclease P (RNase P) is a ubiquitous endoribonuclease, found in archaea, bacteria and eukarya as well as chloroplasts and mitochondria. Its best characterised activity is the generation of mature 5'-ends of tRNAs by cleaving the 5'-leader elements of precursor-tRNAs.
Source: RNAcentral